GACGAACGCUGGCGGCGUGCCUAAUACAUGCAAGUCGAACGCACAGUCCAUACCGUAGCUUGCUACACCAUAGACUGUGAGUUGCGAACGGGGGAGUAACGCGUAGGUAACCUGCCUGGUAGCGGGGGAUAACUAUUGGAAACGACAGCUAGUACCGCAUAAUAUUAAUUAUUGCAUGGUAAUUAAUUGAAAGGUGCAAUUGAACCACUACUAGAUGGCCCUUCGGUGUAUUAGGUUGUAGGCGAGGUAACGGCGCACCUAGGGGGGGAUACGUAGCCGACCUGAGAGGGUGGGCGGCCACACUGGGAGGGUGACACGGCCCAGAGGCAUACGGGAGGGAGCAGGAGGGAAACUGCGGCAAGGGACGGAAGACUGACCGAGCAACGCCGAGGGAGUGAAGAAGGUUGUCGGAUCGUGAAGCACGGUUGUAAGGGAGGAACGGGUGUGAGACUGGAACGUUCACACUGUGACGGUAACUGACCAGAAAGGGACGGCUAACUACGUG
Molecule: ribosomal RNA, 505 nt
Filed under: uncultured bacterium
Lineage: Bacteria
Description: partial 16S ribosomal RNA
Rfam family: Bacterial small subunit ribosomal RNA
Source: RNAcentral